This 454-nucleotide ribosomal RNA is filed under the name uncultured Lactobacillus sp. RNAcentral describes it as "bacterial SSU rRNA". It matches the Rfam family "Bacterial small subunit ribosomal RNA", at positions 90 to 526 of the family's 1533-position model. The record is from RNAcentral. Lineage: Bacteria; Bacillati; Bacillota; Bacilli; Lactobacillales; Lactobacillaceae.
AGCGAGCGGCGGAUGGGUGAGUAACGACGUGGGGAACCUAGCCCCACUAGUCUGGGAUACCACUUGGAAACAGGUGCUAAUACCGGAUAAGAAAGCAGAUCGCAUGAUCAGCUUUUAAAAAGGCGGCGUAAGCUGUCGCUAUGGGAUGGCCCCGCGGUGCAUUAGCUAGUUGGUAAGGUAAAGGCUUACCAAGGCGAUGAUGCAUAGCCGAGUUGAGAGACUGAUCGGCCACAUUGGGACUGAGACACGGCCCAAACUCCUACGGGAGGCAGCAGUGGGGAAUCUUCCACAAUGGACGCAAGUCUGAUGGAGCAACGCCGCGUGAGUGAAGAAGGUUUUCGGAUCGUAAAGCUCUGUUGUUGGUGAAGAAGGAUAGAGGUAGUAACUGGCCUUUAUUUGACGGUAAUCAACCAGGAAGUCACGGCUAACUACGUGCCAGCAGCCGCGGUAAAAU